RNAcentral lists this unclassified non-coding RNA (166 nucleotides) under uncultured Hyaloscyphaceae. Its description in RNAcentral is "sequence contains ITS1". Lineage: Eukaryota; Fungi; Ascomycota; Leotiomycetes; Helotiales. The record is from RNAcentral.
CCGAGUUCAUGCCCUCACGGGUAGAUCUCCCACCCUAUGUUAUUAUUACCUCUGUUGCUUUGGCGGGCCGUCAGGCUUCGGUCAGGCUACCGGCUCCAGCUGACUGCGCCCGCCAGAGGACCCAAACUCGUUUGUUUAGUGAUGUCUGAGUACUAUAUAAUAGUUA